AGAGUUUGAUCCUGGCUCAGAUUGAACGCUGGCGGAAUGCUUUACACAUGCAAGUCGAGCGGCAGCGCGGGGCAACCUGGCGGCGAGCGGCGAACGGGUGAGUAACACAUCGGAACGUACCCAAUCGUGGGGGAUAACUAUCCGAAAGGAUAGCUAAUACCGCAUAAGUCCUGAGGGAGAAAGCGGGGGAUCAGCAAUGACCUCGCGCGGAUGGAGCGGCCGAUGUCGGAUUAGCUAGUUGGUGGGGUAAAGGCCUACCAAGGCGACGAUCCGUAGCGGGUCUGAGAGGACGACCCGCCACACUGGAACUGAGACACGGUCCAGACUCCUACGGGAGGCAGCAGUGGGGAAUUUUGGACAAUGGGCGCAAGCCUGAUCCAGCCAUUCCGCGUGAGUGAAGAAGGCCUUCGGGUUGUAAAGCUCUUUCGGCAGGGAAGAAACGGUUUCAGCUAAUACCUGGAGCUAAUGACGGUGCCUGAAGAAGAAGCACCGGCUAACUACGUGCCAGCAGCCGCGGUAAUACGUAGGGUGCGAGCGUUAAUCGGAAUUACUGGGCGCAAAGCGUGCGCAGGCGGUUUUGUAAGACAGGUGUGAAAUCCCCGGNCUUAACCUGGGAACUGCGCUUGUGACUGCAAGACNUCGAGUACGGCAGAGGGGGGUGGAAUUCCACGUGUAGCAGUGAAAUGCGUAGAGAUGUGGAGGAACACCGAUGGCGAAGGCAGCCCCCUGGGUCGAUACUGACGCUCAUGCACGAAAGCGUGGGGAGCAAACAGGAUUAGAUACCCUGGUAGUCCACGCCCUAAACGAUGCCAACUAGGUGUUGGAGAAGGAGACUUCUUUAGUACCGUAGCUAACGCGUGAAGUUGGCCGCCUGGGGAGUACGGUCGCAAGAUUAAAACUCAAAUGAAUUGACGG
RNAcentral lists this ribosomal RNA (915 nucleotides) under uncultured beta proteobacterium. RNAcentral's name for it is "bacterial SSU rRNA". It matches the Rfam family "Bacterial small subunit ribosomal RNA", at positions 8 to 916 of the family's 1533-position model. The record is from RNAcentral. Lineage: Bacteria; Pseudomonadati; Pseudomonadota; Betaproteobacteria.